Molecule: long non-coding RNA, 273 nt
Organism: Gavia stellata (red-throated loon)
Lineage: Eukaryota; Metazoa; Chordata; Aves; Gaviiformes; Gaviidae
Exons: 3
Source: RefSeq, a predicted model, not a curated record
GCCAACAACUUCCCGACGGAGCGGGAAUGUCGGGAGAGCUGCGGCCUGGCGGGGGCUCCGAAGAAACCCGAGCAUCGCACCAAGCAGACCGACGCCGACUCCACCUACGACGAGUACUGCGCUGUCCCCCGGGUGACCGGCCCGUGCCGCGCCUCCUUCCUACGCUGGUACUACAGCCCGGCAAACCGAACCUGCCGGCAAUUCAUCUACGGCGGCUGCCGGGGAAAUAAGAACAACUACCAGAGGGAAGAGGAAUGCCUGAGCCGCUGCGGC